Molecule: ribosomal RNA, 429 nt
Filed under: uncultured bacterium
Lineage: Bacteria
Description: bacterial SSU rRNA
Rfam family: Bacterial small subunit ribosomal RNA
Source: RNAcentral
UGGGGAAUAUUGCACAAUGGGCGCAAGCCUGAUGCAGCUAUGCCGCGUGUAUGAAGAAGGCCUUAGGGUUGUAAAGUACUUUCAUCGAGGAAGAAAAAUGUAAAUAUAAUACAUUUACAUCUUGACGUUACUCGAAUAAGAAGCACCGGCUAACUCCGUGCCAGCAGCCGCGGUAAUACGGAGGGUGCUAGCGUUAAUCAGAAUUACUGGGCGUAAAGAGCUCGUAGGCGGUAUAUUAAGUCAGAUGUGAAAUCCCUAGGCUUAACCUAGGAACUGCAUUUGAAACUGAUAAACUAGAGUAUCGUAGAGGGAGGUAGAAUUCUAGGUGUAGCGGUGAAAUGCGUAGAUAUCUGGAGGAAUACCUGUGGCGAAAGCGACCUCCUGGACGAAUACUGACGCUGAGGUGCGAAAGCGUGGGGAGCAAACAGG